Molecule: ribosomal RNA, 467 nt
Filed under: uncultured bacterium
Lineage: Bacteria
Description: partial 16S ribosomal RNA
Rfam family: Bacterial small subunit ribosomal RNA
Source: RNAcentral
AGUGAACGCUGGCGGUAGGCCUAACACAUGCAAGUCGAACGGCAGCACAGUAAGAGCUUGCUCUUACGGGUGGCGAGUGGCGGACGGGUGAGGAAUACAUCGGAAUCUACUUUUUCGUGGGGGAUAACGUAGGGAAACUUACGCUAAUACCGCAUACGACCUACGGGUGAAAGCAGGGGAUCUUCGGACCUUGCGCGAUUGAAUGAGCCGAUGUCGGAUUAGCUGGUUGGCGGGGUAAAGGCCCACCAAGGCGACGAUCCGUAGCUGGUCUGAGAGGAUGAUCAGCUGCGCUGGGACUGCGCCACUCACCCGACUCCUACGGGAGGCAGAGGUGGGGUAUAUUGGACAAUGGGAUAAAGCGUGAUACAGCAAUGGCGGGUGAGUGCCGGAGGGCGUAGGGUUGUAAAGUUCUUUUACCCCGGAUGAGAAUGACAGUGCCGGGGGAAUAAGCUACGGCUAACUCCGUG